This 65-nucleotide transfer RNA is filed under the name Ictidomys tridecemlineatus (thirteen-lined ground squirrel). RNAcentral's name for it is "Spermophilus tridecemlineatus (thirteen-lined ground squirrel) tRNA". It matches the Rfam family "tRNA", at positions 6 to 65 of the family's 71-position model. From Rfam's summary of the family: Transfer RNA (tRNA) molecules are approximately 80 nucleotides in length. Their secondary structure includes four short double-helical elements and three loops (D, anti-codon, and T loops). The record is from Rfam by way of RNAcentral. Lineage: Eukaryota; Metazoa; Chordata; Mammalia; Rodentia; Sciuridae.
UGGGGCUCAGUGGUAGAGCACUCGCCUGGCAUGUGUGUGAGAGGCCCUGGGUUCGAUCCUCAGCA